RNAcentral lists this transfer RNA (112 nucleotides) under Trichosporon asahii var. asahii CBS 8904. It matches the Rfam family "tRNA". From Rfam's summary of the family: Transfer RNA (tRNA) molecules are approximately 80 nucleotides in length. Their secondary structure includes four short double-helical elements and three loops (D, anti-codon, and T loops). The record is from Rfam by way of RNAcentral. Lineage: Eukaryota; Fungi; Basidiomycota; Tremellomycetes; Trichosporonales; Trichosporonaceae.
GGGCAUGUAGCUCAGUUGGUAGAGCGCGUCAUUAGCAAGCGCAGGUCUUCUCUCGAAGAACAAAAGCGCCGAUUACUUGACGAGGUCUUUGGUUCGAUUCCUAACCUGUCCA